CUAUACAUGACUCUGCGCAUAUCAAUAAGCGGAGGAAAAGAAACUAACAAGGAUUCCCUUAGUAACGGCGAGUGAAGCGGGAAGAGCUCAAAUUUGAAAUCUUAAAGGGUUUCCCUUUACGAAUUGUAGUUUAAAGAAGUGUUUUCUGUUGAGGUUUUGGUAAAAGUUCUUUGGAAUAGGACAUCAUAGAGGGUGAGAAUCCCGUAUUUGACCAUUAUUUUCAGCUUUGUGAUACACUUUCAAAGAGUCGGAUUGUUUGGGAAUGCAGUCCAAAAUGGGUGGUAAAUUUCAUCUAAAGCUAAAUAUUGGCGAGAGACCGAUAGCGAACAAGUACCGUGAGGGAAAGAUGAAAAGAACUUUGAAAAGAGAGUUAAACAGUACGUGAAAUUGUCAAAAGGGAAGCGUUUGACACCAGUGUUGUUUUUCUGAAAAUCAAUUAAAGAACUGUUUAUGCUAAGUUGUUUAGACUUUAUCAGCUAACUGUUUAGUUUUGAGCUUUUCUUUAAUGCACUUUUCAGUUAACAAGUCAACAUCAGUUUCUUUUGUUGUAAAAGGGUCAUUGGAAGGUGGCUUUCUUUUCGGAGAAAGUGUUUAUAGCCCUUGGCCUCUGCAAUCGGAGAGACUGAGGUCUGCAGCGUAGACUCUUCGGGGUUAGAUACAUUUGUGCUAAGCUAUAGCUUUUUAUAGACAACUUGUUGACUAUAAUUAGUCUUGUAGCUUACUCGCUUAUGCUAUUUUACCUACGCUUAGGAUGUUGACAGCAGUAUAGACUGU
Molecule: ribosomal RNA, 774 nt
Filed under: uncultured Neocallimastigales
Lineage: Eukaryota; Fungi; Neocallimastigomycota; Neocallimastigomycetes; Neocallimastigales
Description: partial large subunit ribosomal RNA
Rfam family: Eukaryotic large subunit ribosomal RNA
Source: RNAcentral